GGCCGCGUAGUGUAGUGGUUAGCACGCAGGAUUUUGAUUCCUGAGACCUGAGUUCAAUCCUCGGCGGGGCCU
Molecule: transfer RNA, 72 nt
Filed under: Hypoxylon crocopeplum
Lineage: Eukaryota; Fungi; Ascomycota; Sordariomycetes; Xylariales; Hypoxylaceae
Description: tRNA-Gln
Rfam family: tRNA
About the family: Transfer RNA (tRNA) molecules are approximately 80 nucleotides in length. Their secondary structure includes four short double-helical elements and three loops (D, anti-codon, and T loops).
Source: RNAcentral